Molecule: ribosomal RNA, 500 nt
Filed under: uncultured bacterium
Lineage: Bacteria
Description: partial 16S ribosomal RNA
Rfam family: Bacterial small subunit ribosomal RNA
Source: RNAcentral
GAUGAACGCUGGCGGCGUGCCUUAAGCAUGCAAGUCGAACGGCAGCACGGACUCCGGUCUGGUGGCGAGUGGCGAACGGGUGAGUAACAUAUCGGAACAUACCCUAGAGUGGGGGAUAACGUAGCGAAAGUUACGCUAACACCGCAUACGAUCUAAGGAUGAAAGUGGGGGAUCUUCGGACCUCAUGCUCAUGGAGUGGCCGAUAUCUGAUUAGCUAGUUGGUGAGGUAAAGGCUCACCAAGGCGACGAUCAGUAGCUGGUUUGAGAGAACGACCAGCCACACUGGAACUGAGACACGGUCCAGACUCCUACGGGAGGCAGCAGUGGGGAAUAUUGGACAAUGGGCGAAAGCCUGAUCCAGCCAUGCCGCGUGUGUGAAGAAGGUCUUCGGAUUGUAAAGCACUUUAAGCUGGGAGGAAGGGUUGUAAGCUAAUAUCUUGCAGCUUUGACGUUACCAACAGAGUAAGCACCGGCUAACUCUGUGCCAGCCGCCGCAGUAA